GAUGAACGCGGGCGGCGUGCCUAAUACAUGCAAGUCGAGCGAACAGACGAGGAGCUUGCUCCUCUGACGUUAGCGGCGGACGGGUGAGUAACAUGUGGAUAACCUACCUAUAAGACUGGGAUAACUUCGGGAAACCGGAGCUAAUACCGGAUAAUAUAUUGAACCGCAUGGUUCAAUAGUGAAAGACGGUUUUGCUGUCACUUAUAGAUGGAUCCGCGCCGCAUUAGCUAGUUGGUAAGGUAACGGCUUACCAAGGCGACGAUGCGUAGCCGACCUGAGAGGGUGAUCGGCCACACUGGAACUGAGACACGGUCCAGACUCCUACGGGAGGCAGCAGUAGGGAAUCUUCCGCAAUGGGCGAAAGCCUGACGGAGCAACGCCGCGUGAGUGAUGAAGGUCUUCGGAUCGUAAAACUCUGUUAUUAGGGAAGAACAAAUGUGUAAGUAACUAUGCACGUCUUGACGGUACCUAAUCAGAAAGCCACGGCUAACUACGUG
Molecule: ribosomal RNA, 497 nt
Filed under: uncultured bacterium
Lineage: Bacteria
Description: partial 16S ribosomal RNA
Rfam family: Bacterial small subunit ribosomal RNA
Source: RNAcentral